CAGCAGCCGCGGUAAUACCGAGGGUGCGAGCGUUAAUCGGAUUUACUGGGCGUAAAGCGUGCGUAGGCGGCUUCUUAAGUCGGAUGUGAAAUCCCUGAGCUUAACUUAGGAAUUGCAUUCGAUACUGGGAAGCUAGAGUAUGGGAGAGGAUGGUAGAAUUCCAGGUGUAGCGGUGAAAUGCGUAGAGAUCUGGAGGAAUACCGAUGGCGAAGGCAGCCAUCUGGCCUAAUACUGACGCUGAGGUACGAAAGCAUGGGGAGCAAACAGGAUUAGAUACCCCCGUAGUCCCUGGUCUCUUAUU
RNAcentral lists this ribosomal RNA (301 nucleotides) under uncultured bacterium. RNAcentral's name for it is "partial 16S ribosomal RNA". It matches the Rfam family "Bacterial small subunit ribosomal RNA", at positions 509 to 807 of the family's 1533-position model. The record is from RNAcentral.